GCUGGGUGUGGUGGCACGUACCUGUAGUCCCAGCUACUUGGGAGGCUGAGGUGGGAGGAUCGCUUGAGCCCAGGAGGUCAAGGCUGCAGUGAGCCUUGAUCAUACCACGGCACUCCAGCCUGGGCAACAGAGCAAGACCCUGUCUCUA
Macaca mulatta (Rhesus monkey) is the source of this 148-nucleotide unclassified non-coding RNA. It matches the Rfam family "Metazoan signal recognition particle RNA". Rfam says of the family: The signal recognition particle (SRP) is a universally conserved ribonucleoprotein. It is involved in the co-translational targeting of proteins to membranes. The eukaryotic SRP consists of a 300-nucleotide 7S RNA and six proteins: SRPs 72, 68, 54, 19, 14, and 9. The record is from Ensembl. NCBI's taxonomy places the organism in Eukaryota, Metazoa, Chordata, Mammalia, Primates, Cercopithecidae.